GGUGGCCUAGUGGUUAGAGCAUCCGCCUCAGAUGCAGGAGGUUGUGGGUUCUAUCCCCAGCCAAGUCA
Non-coding RNA from Potamilus streckersoni, 68 nucleotides. The record is from the annotation of a GenBank genome assembly. Lineage: Eukaryota; Metazoa; Mollusca; Bivalvia; Unionida; Unionidae.